GACGAACGCUGGCGGCGUGCUUAACACAUGCAAGUCGAACGGGUCUGCCCUGUUUUUUGCGGGGUGGGUCAGUGGCGAACGGGUGAGUAACACGUGAGUAACCUGCCCCUCACUUCUGGAUAACCGCUUGAAAGGGUGGCUAAUACGGGGUGUUCUGGCUGUGCCGCAUGGUGUGGCUGGGAAAGAUUCACUUUUGUGGUGUUUUGGUGGGGGAUGGGCUCGCGGCCUAUCAGCUUGUUGGUGGGGUGAUGGCCUGCCAAGGCUUUGACGGGUAGCCGGCCUGGGAGGGUGGGCGGUCACACGGGGACUGAGAUACGGCCCAGACUCCUGCGGGAGGCAGCAGUGGGGGGUAUUGCACAAUGGGCGGAAGCCUGAUGCAGCGACGUCGCGUGAGGGAUGGAGGCCUUCGGGUUGUGAACCUCUUUCGCCGGUGAAGAAGGUCCUGCUCUUUGUGGUGGGGUUGACGGUAGCCGGGUUAUGAAGCGCCGGCUAACUACGUG
Molecule: ribosomal RNA, 500 nt
Filed under: uncultured bacterium
Lineage: Bacteria
Description: partial 16S ribosomal RNA
Rfam family: Bacterial small subunit ribosomal RNA
Source: RNAcentral